UUACCGCCACAACGGCUUCCUGACGUGGCGGAACAACAUAAUCGGAGCA
This is a regulatory RNA element of 49 nucleotides. It matches the Rfam family "SAM/SAH riboswitch aptamer". The record is from Rfam.